GUCCCCGGCGUCCGGGCGCCCUGCAUGGAUCCCCCACCCCAGCUCCUGCUCCCCGGCGGCGGCCGGUGGGCAGAAAGACCGAAACCCACUCACGGCCGCCUGCCGAAUCGCGGCUCUGCUGUUUGUGGGGCGUGCUAGAAACGUGGUCCUAAAAAGAAUGGCGUCCAUUUACAUAAUGCUUUGUUUGCGUUUCGCAAGUUUCUUUCGGUUAAAGCCACAGAAACCCCACCUCCUGCCCUUGUGUCGUUUCCACCGCGGCACCCUUUUCCGACAUUAGAAACAAUAGUGUACGCCUGUGGAGGCCUCGUUUGUUCAGGGGCUGCCGGCCAGGGCUUCAGGACGUUUCUGCGGCUUUCCCCGCGCGGCCUGGGCUCCCGCGGCUGCUUUUCGGGCCCAUGGGCGCAGCCACUGCGCCAGGCUCAAGGGGGGCGGCCCCGUCAGGGCCCGCCAUCUUGGAAGGCCUUUUUUGCCGGUUCUUCCCGCUGAGGAAGUGUCGCUCAAGACGCUGGCCUAUGAGUUGUGAUUUCUGCCUUUUCCCCUUCCUCCUUGGGCUAAGCCAGACCAGAAAGGGCCCCGUGCGCAACGUGCUUCACAAUCUCUCAGGGAAAGCGGCUAACGUGGCGCUACUCCGCCUCCCCUGUUCCUUACCCUUGGGGCGGCCGCCAUGUUUCCUGAACACAAAAUGGCGACACGUGGUUAGCAUUCGUCGCCAACGAGAAAUUGGGGUCGGCCCGAAAGCUCUAGAAUGCACCCCUCUUCCUCCCCGGGGCCUUCCACCUCCGCGAGUUUUAUGACUUAAAAAAGCCCACAGGCUGGUCUGAAGGUCGGAGGCCUAAUUUUAACGCGUUUUCCUCCCUUUAAUUUGAAACGGGAACGCGAAUGACUGUAAAAUGUGGGCACAAUAUUUAAUCUCUCGCCUUUUUAAAGCUUAAUAGUGGAUAAUAGGGGGGCAGUAUCAAGGGAUAAUUUGGGUCCCCACAGUACCAAAGCAUUUAGAAACCUCUGUUUAAUUUAAGGAAUGAGAUAAGUUACUGCUUUUCUAGACUUCCUAGCAUGGGCUGUUGUGCUGGAGAGAACGAGAGCUACGAAGAGACUACAGUGCCUCUGACUUUUUCAUAGGACAGUUGGCCGGUGAAUCUUAUUAAUAGUUUACCACAAUUAAGUGUUCAUUUUUAGUCUAGAAGGGACAGGCGUUUAUUGUGCAUUGGCCAGUGCCAGCACAUCCGAUGCAAGGCAGUUCACCGUAUUCUAUCUUUAAUUUUUACCAUGGUCCUCUGAGGUAGGUGUUCUUAUCUCUCUCUCUCUCUCUCUCUUUUAAACAGAGGAAGACAAACAUAAAGAUGAAGUGCUUAAUUCAAGGUCACACAAUGUCGGGGAUGGACCUCCAGAUUUCCUUACUGGAAAACAAGCUCAGGGCUCCCACUGAUUGUACAUUAUGAGACGGAGUCUUGCUAUGUUGCCCAGGCUGGUCUUGAACUCCUCACCUCAAGCGAUCCUCCCGUCUUGGCCUCCCAAGUGUCAGGAUUACGGGCAUGUGCUAUCACACCCAACCUGAUACAUUGCCUUUAUAAAUUUUUUUUUCUUUAUUCUAAAAACCAGAAAAAACAAAACUGGAUACAUGUGCAGAACAUGCAGGUGAGACGUGGUCUUGUAACACAGUGGUUAAGAAUGUGACUUUGGAGCCAGCCUGCUAGGGGCUGAAUUCUGACUCAGCCAUUUACUAACUGUGUGACCUUAGGCUGGAGUGCAAUGGCAUGAUCUCGGCUCAUCACAACCUCUGCUUCCUGGGUUCAAGCGAUUCUCCUGCCUCAGCCUCCCGAGUACCUGGGACUACAGGCACUCGCCACCAUGCCCGGCUGAUUUUUGUAUUUUUAAUAGAGAUGGUUUCACUAUGUUGGCCAGGCUGGUCUCGAACUCCUGACCUUGUGAUCUGCCCACCUCAGCCUCGAAAAGUGCUGGGAUUACAGGCGUGAGCCACUGCGCCCAGCCUUGUAUUUUUUUUCAGUUUGGGUAGCUGUCCCUAAUUCAUUUGUUAAAGGAGAAGCAAGAGCAAGAACCUUUAAUCUGUUCUCCUCUUCCCUAAUUUGAAAGUAGCUUGUUAUUUUGAAUAUCACUUUCUCUGAAAUAGCACAUCUCCAUCUCAGAGAAUGGAUUUAAUGUUUGGAUACAGCCAAAAGUCAUUUCAUUACCAAACCAUGGGGUGAAUAUACCAUGUAAAGCAGUUUGGGAUCAGAACUCACAGUCUGAAUUGUAAGUGAUGAGACUGCUGUCUCUCUGCUACAGCUUCUUGGCUGGCUCUGAAGGCUCUUUGAAGGCAGAUCCUAACAAGGGGACUGCUUUGAAGGGCCAUUGUUCAUUUGGAAUGAUAAAGUCUAUGUUGUUCAAAAAACAAAUGCUUGUAGCAGGUAUUUUUUCACUCCAGACUGAGAAUAUUGGUGGGAUAUUGAUAAGGGGUACUGAAUGGUAAUAAACAUGUGCUCUAGCUCUGUGCUAGUCAGCUUAUUUCAGAACUCUAGUUUGAUUCAGUUUCUUGCCUCUGACUCAAAAUGGAGGGAGAGUGAUUUUUACAUAAGAGAACACACCCACAUAUCCUUUUGGCAGCAGCUACCUGCCAGAGAUGUUGAAGAAGAGUAGCCAACCUUUACACAGCAGAUAUUGUGUGCCAGUCAUAGUCCUAAGUAUAAUACCUUACAUGUAUAAACUUCUUAUAAGGUUGGUGCUCUGUACCGAAUUGAAUAGUAUCCCCCAAAAUUCAUGUUGUCCCAGAACCUAUGAAAGUGAUCUUACUUGAGGGAGGGGGGAGGGGGGAGGGAUAGCAUUAGGAGAUAUACCUAAUGCUAAAUGACGAGUUAAUGGGUGUAGCACACCAGCAUGGCACAUGUAUACAUAUGUAACUAACCUGCACAUUGUGCACAUGUACCCUAAAACUUAAAGUAUAAUAAUAAUAAAAUAAAAAAAAAAAAGAAAGUGAUCUUACUUGGAAAUAAGGUCUUUGCACAUAUGAUCAAGUUGAGAUGAAGUUGUACUGGAAAGUCUGUCUAGUGACUGGUGUUGUCAUAAGAAGAGAGGGACACAGAGGGAAGAUGGCCACAUGAAGAUGGAGGCAGAGAUUGCAGUUAUGCUGCUGCAAACUAAGGAAUGGCUCUGGCCCUCCAAGGAUUGCUGAUAACCACCAGAAACUAGAAGAGACAAGGAAGGAUUCUUCCCUAGAGCCUUCAGAGGGAGCAUGGCCCUACUGACACCUGGAUUUCAAACUUGUAGCUUCCUAAACUGCAAGAGAAUAAAUUUCUGUUGUUUUAAGCCA
This 3304-nucleotide long non-coding RNA is filed under the name Homo sapiens (human). Its description in RNAcentral is "PCBP1 antisense RNA 1, transcript variant 84 (PCBP1-AS1)". The record is from RNAcentral. Lineage: Eukaryota; Metazoa; Chordata; Mammalia; Primates; Hominidae.